GAGCUCUUGUCUACCAGCAGGAAAACUACUUUCUUCAUUUGAUCCUCUUUGGGUUUCGUAGGUAUGGAUGUCAUGGCAACAAAAUCAAUAAAAGUUAUCGUCCAUAACCUAAAGGAUCAGCAUGGUGUUGGUGAACUGUUAAACAAGGGUUAGUGUUUGAAGUCUUCAACUUCAUUCCCAGACUCAUGUUUUGAGGAUUCUUCUGGGCUACCUGGCUCAGACAGGGAGAGUCCACUACUUAUACAGAGCUGCUGCAGUUCAUGCUGGGAGGGAUGCAGAGCCACGUGGACAGCAGCAUAGUGUGUGAGGCAUGGUGGUGGGGGAGUGUCUCCGCUCCUGCAUGGACAUCAACAGAGUCAAAUUCAAGGUACAGUAUGGCACCAUACCCAAUGUUUUGGGUGCAUCAAUAGUCUGAAGUGGCUCACUGUCACUAUUCUGUUUUCUGCUCAUACUGAUCUGAAUGAACUGGACAGGUGAAAACAAAUAACAUAAUGCUUUCACCUAUCUGCUGUUCAGAUCAGUGCAAAUGAAAGAAAGGAGAAGAUGGAGGAAGCCACUGUAGACUGAGGUGCACCCCUACAGUAGGCUAUAACUGCCUUGUUAUGAGUCCUCUGUAGGACACAGGGAAGGAUGUGUUCAGUGUUUCUUUUCCUCAGGAUGAGGAGACCAAGGAGCUGCUCUCACUGAUGAAUCCACUGUCUAAUGAAGAAACAGAUUUGACCUUGAGGAAGAUCCAAGGGCAGACUGUACCCUCUAAGGCAAUACCAACCCAGGUUGCUUCUGUGGCCCAGAAAUCAGGAGCGGACCCAGACUCAAGCGUAGGGCAUUAUCAUAAUCAAACCUAUAACACAAUACCGCUUCUUAUACACUACAUUUAUUAACAAUGUUGCCUGUGAAUCUGAAGUUCUUUUUCAUUGAAAUCAUUACAGCUUAAUGAAUCUUCCCACGGGAACUUAAGCAUGGUGUAGGACUCGCCAGCUUGUAGUCCUAAAAAACAGAAAUGAGUUACCUCUGGUUUGUUCAGCCAUUCCUGUGGGGAAAGAAUAGGGUUUUGGGUUAAAUGCCAAAAAUAAGGUCUGAGGUCAACACAGGUGGAGGUCUUAUACGUUUUGUUCUAUGAGAUAAUCAGUCAGUUAACAUCACCUUUAUAAAUUGAAGCCUUUGUGUCUAUAAUGAUUACAUAAAUGCUUCAAUAUUCACAGUGACGUUGGCUGAAAGAUUCUCAUAACAAAACAUAAGAUCUCCUAAGCCUGUGUUUACCACCAACCUUCUGCUCUGCAUUUAUACAAAAAUGCCAUUAAUUUCCCCAUAGAGUGGAGAUAGAAAUUGUCUCUUUGUAGGCUCUAUCUCUAUAGUAGUGUUGUAUUAAUUAGGCUCUCUGUCUCUGUCCUGUGUGUAUGAACCAGUGAUGAUUCGAUCACUCCCUAUGAUAUAUCCCUACGGGCAGGGCCGUUAUUGGCAGGCCUUAGGGGGCGUGGCCCGCCCUACUGUACCUCCUUGCCCAUCCAAAUAAAAUACUGAUCAUUUACAGUGCCUUCGGAAAGUAUUCAGACCCCUUGAAUUUUCCCACGUUUUGUUAUAGCCUUAUUAAAAAAAAAUUAUUAAAUUGUUAAUCCCUCCCACCCCCCUCAAUCUAAACACAAUACCCCAUAAUGGCAAAGAGAAGAAAAAAACAGGGUUCGAAUUUUUUGCUAAUUUAUUAAAAAGAAACUGAUAUCACAUUUACAUGAUCAUCCAAGAUGGCAUAGUCAGACGUCCUUGUCUUGCCGUGUCUCGUGUGUGUAUAUAUAAAUAAGAUAUGCGAAGAAAAAUAUUGACAUUUUUCUUCGCAUAUCUUUUUAUUUUUCUAAACACUCGACUUAAAAACACUCUCCUGCAACCUGCCUCACCAAUUGUUUAACUUUUAUGGGCUAGGUGGGACGUUUGCGUCCCACCUAGUCAACAGCCAGUGGAAUUGCGUGGCGCGAAAUACAUGCCUCAAUGCUAUAACUUAAAUUUUUCAAACAUAUGACUAUUUUACACCAUUUUAAAGACAAGACUCUUGUUAAUCUAACCACAUUGUCCGAUUUCAAAAAGGCUUUACAGCGAAAGCAAAACAUUAGAUUGUCAGGAGAGUACCCUGCCAAAAAAUAAUCACACAGCCAUUUUCAAAGCAAGCAUAUAUGUCACCAAAACCACAGCUAAAUGCAGCACUAACCUUUGAUCUUCAUCAGAUGACACUCCUAGGACAUUAUGUUAUACAAUACAUGCAUGUUUUGUUUAAUCAAGUACAUAUUUAUAUCAAAAAACAGCUUUUUACAUUAGUAUGUGAUGUUCAGAACUAGCAUACCCAUCGCAAACUUCCGGUGAAUUUACUAAAUUACUCAUGAUAAACGUUGAAAAAAAUACAUAACAAUUAUUUUAAGAAUUAUAGAUACAGAACUCCUUUAUGCAAACGCUAUGUCAGAUUUUAAAAUAGCUUUUCGGCGAAAGCACAUUUUGCAAUAUUCUGAGUACAUAGCUCAGCCAUCACAGGCUAGCUAAUUUGACACCCACCAAGUUUGGGGCUCACUAAACUCAGAAUUACUAUUAGAAAAAUUGGAUUACCUUUGCUGUUCUUCGUCAGAAUGCACUCCCAGGACUUCUACUUCAACAACAAAUAACAACAAAUAAUCCAUAGUUAUAUCCAAAUACCUCCGUUUUGUUCGUUCAGGUCACUAUCCGAAGGGUAACGCGCGAGCGGAUUUCAUGACAAUUUCAAAAUAUUCCAUUACCGUACUUAGAAGCAUGUCAAACGCUGCUUAAAAUCUAUUUUUAUGCUAUUUUUCUCAUAAAAUAGCGAUAAUAUUCCAACCGGGCAACGUUGUAUUCAUUCAAAGGCUGAAAGAAAAAAAGAGAAGUCUCGUGAACGCUCAUCUCAGUCUCACUGUCCCCAGGCUGACCACACAAACAGAGCUGCUGUACUUUGCCCAGAGACAGCAGACACCCCAUUCUACUUUCUGGCGGCUUUAGAGAGCCAAUGGAAGCCUUAGAAAGUGUCACGUUACAGCACAGAUGCUGUAUUUUCGAUAGAUGCAACAGAAGGACAACAAAUUGUCAGACAGGGCACUUCCUGUAUGGAAUCUUCUCAGGUUUUGGCCUGCCAUAUGAGUUCUGUUAUACUCAGACGCCAUUCAAACAGUUUUAGAAACUUUAGGGUGUUUUCUAUCCAAAUCUACUAAUUAUAUGCAUAUUUUCGUUUCUGGGCAAGAGUAGUAACCAGAUUAAAUUGGGUAUGUUUUUUAUCCGGCCGUGAAAAUACUGCCCCCUAGUCCCAACAGGUAAAAAAAAAAGUAUUAUUCACCUCAAAUCUGAAAUCCACAACAGAAGCUAGCCAGAAGUUAGCCAGGUGUCUGGUUAGACUAAACUCUCCUUCCAGACUCACAGCAACCAUCUCCAAUCCAAAGUUAAAUCGGCUUCCUAUUUCGCAACAAAGCAUCCUUCACUCAUGCUGCCAAACAUACCCUCGUAAAACUGACCAUCCUACCGAACUUUGGCAAUGUCAUUUACAAAAUAGCCUCCAAUACCCUACUUAUUAAAUUGGAUGCAGUCUAUCACAGUGCCAUCCGUUUUGUCACCAAAGCCCCAUAUACUACCCACCACUGCGACCUGUACACUCUUGUUAGGUGGCCCUUGCUUCAUACUCAUUGCCAAACCCACUGGCUCCAGGUCAUCUACAAGACCCUGCUAGGUAAAGUCCCCCCUUAUCUCAGCUCGCUGGUCACCAUAGCAGCACCCACUCGUAGCACGCGCUCCAGCAGGUAUAUCUCACUGGUCACCCCCAAUGCCAAUUCCUCCUUCGGCCGCCUCUCCUUCCAGUUCUCUGCUGCCAAUGACUGGAACAAACUACAAAACCUCUGAAACUGGAAACACUCAUCUCCCUCACUAGCUUUAAGCACUAGCUGUCAGAGCAGCUCACAGAUUACUGCACAUAGCCCAUCUAUAAUUUAGCCCAAACAACUACCUCUUCCCCUACUGUAUUUAUUUAUUUUGCUCCUUUGCACCCCAUUAUUUCUACUUUCUUCCACUACAAAUCUACCAUUCCAGUGUUUUAAUUGCUAUAUUGUAUGUACUUUGCCACCAUGGCCUUUUUUUGCCUUUACCUCCCUUAUCUCACCUCAUAUGCUCACAUUGUAUAUAGACUUAUUUUUCUACUGUAUUAUUGACUGUUUGUUUUACUCCAUGUGUUACUCUGUUGUAUGUGUCAAACUGCUUUGCCCUAUCUUGGCCAGGUCGCAG
This 4257-nucleotide long non-coding RNA is filed under the name Salmo salar (Atlantic salmon). RNAcentral's name for it is "lncRNA (ENSSSAG00000118412.1)". The record is from RNAcentral. Lineage: Eukaryota; Metazoa; Chordata; Actinopteri; Salmoniformes; Salmonidae.